CAGUAGCCACGGUAAUACGUAGGGUGCAAGCGUUAAUCGGAAUUACUGGGCGGAAAGCGUGCGCAGGCGGUUUGUUAAGACAGAUGUGAAAUCCCCGGGCUCAACCUGGGAACUGCAUUUGUGACUGGCAGGCUAGAGUAUGGCAGAGGGGGGUGGAAUUCCGCGUGUAGCAGUGAAAUGCGUAGAUAUGCGGAGGAACACCGAUGGCGAAGGCAGCCCCCUGGGCCAAUACUGACGCUCAUGCACGAAAGCGUGGGGAGCAAACAGGAUUAGAUACCCCUGUAGUCCCUGUCUCUUAUAC
This 301-nucleotide ribosomal RNA is filed under the name uncultured bacterium. RNAcentral describes it as "partial 16S ribosomal RNA". It matches the Rfam family "Bacterial small subunit ribosomal RNA", at positions 509 to 807 of the family's 1533-position model. The record is from RNAcentral.